Long non-coding RNA from Coregonus clupeaformis (lake whitefish), 305 nucleotides. RefSeq lists it as uncharacterized. Lineage: Eukaryota; Metazoa; Chordata; Actinopteri; Salmoniformes; Salmonidae. The record is from RefSeq and is a predicted model, not a curated record. The transcript has 3 exons.
UGUGUGCUAUGCUGGUAAUAACGUAAAUCUCGGGAUGGCAGAAGAACGGUAUUAAAAUCUGGAUACUGCCCAAGCCUAGCACUAGAAAAGAAAAGCAAAAAAGGGAAGGCACAGCAAGGCACAAUAGAGACACAGUGAUCAGCUUGUUAGGGGUGAACUGGGAGCAGAGCUGAAGCGGUAGAAAAGAAGAGACGGCAACAGAGAGGGCUUCGUCCUGAGCCCUAUACUACGAAUCAGUGUUCCUCCGGAGAGGCCUGCCUCGGAUGAAUGAGACCGAGGGUAACCCCCAAUACUACCACCUUGCC